GCUAUUUCAGCUCCACUAACAGCCGAGACGCGGUUUGUGACACAUGUGGCAAGACCGCAAACCUUGUCAAACAGAAACAAAAGUAAAUUAUAACACAGAGUAUGAUGAUGAGUUUAUGAUGAGGCAAACUGAAGAGGAGGAGAGGGACAGGUGCUGCUGGGGCGAGACAAACAUAGCUCGCGGAGUCCUUUGGUGCUGCAGGCAGGCACUAUACAGGAAUCGUCCACUGAUGCUCUCUAAUGGGUGCUGUUGGGAUGGGAGAAAAGUGUGUUAUCUUCUCUGCGUCCUCUCCUGACACGUCGAGCUGAUAUUCCCCACCGGGGUCGUUUAAGUCUGAACUCGUCUGACCGAACAGAAUCUGCAGCCCAGCUAAGGAAACAAGUCAGUCGCCUGCCUUAACUGCUGUCAUCUUUCCUCAUCUCGUGACACCUCAGUGACACCCAGAGUGGCGCUCGGAGUCGCCUCCACCAACAUCCACCUUUCAAUCACACUUUCAAUUGCAAUUGCCUAAUUCUGUGCUGGGAUUUCAGUCCACGGCGAGGAUAUGAGAUUUGUCAAGCACGAGCCCGGGGAAGAACCUGCAUCGCAUAACGCGUAGACGUGCACCAUUUCCUCAGCAUGUGAACUGCAAUUCAUUUUAUAAAUGUCAGAUGAAGCCUGGCAAGCCAUCCACCCACCCACACACACACACACACACACACACACAAAUAGCGUGGUGGGUAAUAUUCUUAUUAGAGAUCAUUUUGAUUGGCUUCCGCUGCCCUUUUCAUUGUGUGAGCGACAGUGAAGGGAGAGAUGAUGAAGUGUGUGCCUAAAUGUCUGUGUGUGCACACUAUGCAUAUAUGUAUAUAUAUAUAUGUGUGUGUUUGUGUGUGUAUGUGUGUGUGUGUGCGUGCAUGUGUCAGAUGUUGAGGGUUUGAGGGUUUAUGUAAGCAGAGAUUAAAAAUGCAAUAAACCUGCC
Oreochromis aureus is the source of this 961-nucleotide long non-coding RNA. NCBI's taxonomy places the organism in Eukaryota, Metazoa, Chordata, Actinopteri, Cichliformes, Cichlidae. The record is from Ensembl.